GCCGAGGUGGCAGAACGGCUAAUGCGCCGGUCUCGAAAACCGGUGUCCGAAAGGACUUGCAGGUUCGAAUCCUGCCCUCGGCG
RNAcentral lists this transfer RNA (83 nucleotides) under Candidatus Aenigmatarchaeota archaeon. Its description in RNAcentral is "tRNA-Ser". It matches the Rfam family "tRNA". Rfam says of the family: Transfer RNA (tRNA) molecules are approximately 80 nucleotides in length. Their secondary structure includes four short double-helical elements and three loops (D, anti-codon, and T loops). Further hydrogen bonds mediate the characteristic L-shaped molecular structure. tRNAs have two regions of fundamental functional importance: the anti-codon, which is responsible for specific mRNA codon recognition, and the 3' end, to which the tRNAs corresponding amino acid is attached (by aminoacyl-tRNA synthetases). tRNAs cope with the degeneracy of the genetic code in two manners: having more than one tRNA (with a specific anti-codon) for a particular amino acid; and 'wobble' base-pairing, i.e. permitting non-standard base-pairing at the 3rd anti-codon position. Lineage: Archaea; Nanobdellati; Candidatus Aenigmatarchaeota. The record is from RNAcentral.